GAGACAUAUGUUGAAUUGAAUCAUUCGAGCAGCGGACGGGUGAGUAAAGCACAAGGACUUGUCCGAAAGAGAGGGACACCUGCGGGAAACCGGAGCUAAUACCUCAUAAGCCGGAAGGUGAAAAGCAGAGAUGCGCUUUUGGAGAGACUUGUGUCCUAUCAGGCAGUUGGUGAGGUGAAAGCUCACCAAACCGAAGACGGGUAGCCGGACUGAGAGGUCGACCGGCCACAUUGGAACUGAGAGACGGUCCAGACUCCUACGGGAGGCAGCAGUGGGGAAUAUUGGGCAAUGGGCGGAAGCCUGACCCAGCGACGCCGCGUGAGGGAAGACAGCCUUCGGGUUGUAAACCUCUGUUGCAGGGGAAGAAGGAAGUGACGGUACCCUGCGAGGAAGCUCCGGCUAACUACGUGCCAGCAGCCGCGGUAAUACGUAGGGAGCGAGCGUUGUCCGGAAUUACUGGGCGUAAAGGGCGCGUAGGCGGCGCUUCAAGUCGUCUGUCAAAUGGAAGGGCUUAACCCUUUUUCGCAGACGAAACUGGAGAGCUUGAGAAGCAGAGAGGCAAACAGAAUUCCUGGUGUAGCGGUGAAAUGCGUAGAUAUCAGGAAGAAUACCAGUGGCGAAGGCGGUUUGCUGGCUGCAUACUGACGCUGAAGCGCGAAAGCCAGGGGAGCGAACGGGAUUAGAUACCCCGGUAGUCCUGGCAGUAAACGAUGUAUGCUGGGUGUGAGACUAGCGAUAGUUUCGUGCCGAAGUU
This 754-nucleotide ribosomal RNA is filed under the name uncultured bacterium. RNAcentral's name for it is "bacterial SSU rRNA". It matches the Rfam family "Bacterial small subunit ribosomal RNA", at positions 69 to 853 of the family's 1533-position model. The record is from RNAcentral.